GCACUUUCAGUAGGGAGGAAGGUAGUGUAGUUAAUACCUGCAUUAUUUGACGUUACCUACAGAAGAAGCACCGGCUAACUCCGUGCCAGCAGCCGCGGUAAUACGGAGGGUGCGAGCGUUAAUCGGAAUUACUGGGCGUAAAGCGCAUGCAGGCGGCCUGUUAAGUCAGAUGUGAAAGCCCCGGGGCUUAACCUCGGAAUUGCAUUUGAAACUGGCAGGCUAGAGUCUUGUAGAGGGGGUAGAAUUUCAGGUGUAGCGGUGAAAUGCGUAGAGAUCUGAAGGAAUACCAGUGGCGAAGGCGGCCCCCCUGGACAAAGACUGACGCUCAGAUCGCGAAAGCGUGGGGAGCUAAACAGGAUUAGAUACCCCUCGGUAG
RNAcentral lists this ribosomal RNA (376 nucleotides) under uncultured bacterium. Its description in RNAcentral is "bacterial SSU rRNA". It matches the Rfam family "Bacterial small subunit ribosomal RNA", at positions 430 to 793 of the family's 1533-position model. The record is from RNAcentral.